AACAAGUGGAAACUUUUAAAAAAUUGUCAAUACUGUUCAGUUCAUCCCUCGGGAAGCUUUUGAAUGAUACACAGAAAACUUCUUCAAGUAUAAAAGUUGAAUUAAAAAAUAUGAAGAAUGAAGUGAGCCAACUUGACUCCAAAAUUUUCAUCGGAGAUAACAAAUUGACAGCAAACCUGACUGAGGCAAACUCUAAAAUUGACAAAUUAUUGUCCAUUAUCGGAUGGUUCAGAGCGAGCAAUAAUCUCUUUUACAAACGUUUCAUUGAUUCUGUCACCUAUGCAACUGCAAUGGCUCGAUGUGAAAUAUUAGGAGCUCGUUU
Molecule: non-coding RNA, 322 nt
Organism: Styela clava
Lineage: Eukaryota; Metazoa; Chordata; Ascidiacea; Stolidobranchia; Styelidae
Source: RefSeq, a predicted model, not a curated record